CGGGAUAUUUAGAAAAAAGUA
Molecule: transfer RNA, 21 nt
Filed under: Peltandra virginica (green arrow arum)
Lineage: Eukaryota; Viridiplantae; Streptophyta; Magnoliopsida; Alismatales; Araceae
Also listed under: 4 other names
Description: partial tRNA-Phe
Source: RNAcentral